This 279-nucleotide unclassified non-coding RNA is filed under the name Ascomycota sp. RNAcentral's name for it is "partial contains small subunit ribosomal RNA, internal transcribed spacer 1, and 5.8S ribosomal RNA". The stretch from base 1 to 47 matches the Rfam family "Eukaryotic small subunit ribosomal RNA", at positions 1785 to 1831 of the family's 1831-position model. The record is from RNAcentral. Lineage: Eukaryota; Fungi; Ascomycota.
AAAGUCGUAACAAGGUUUCCGUAGGUGAACCUGCGGAAGGAUCAUUAAACGUCUUGCCUUUAGUUAGGUAUUGUCGGGGGGCCGAUACGCAUUACUCUUUCAGUGUAACCACGAAAAGUCUUGCCUCUACCGCCCCUGCCUGAACCCGUGUUUUUGCGUACUACUUGUUUCCUUGGUGGGCUUGCCUGCCAAAUGGACCACAUUAAACCCUUGUAAUUGCAGUCAGCGUCAGAAAAUAAAAAUAAAUUACAACUUUCAACAACGGAUCUCUUGGCUCUG